GUAUAGAUUUAUAGGCACAAAGGCCCAUUGAUAACAUUCUAUGACAUACAUUAGGGUAUAUGAAGAAACAUAGGCCUGAAAAUGUAAGGAGAGACAUAAAGUCAAUCCUCAAACCUGAGCAGCACUCAGAGAGAUAUCCAGGUCUACAAAAGGUGCACAGGUGGAGAUAUAAAGACGACAAGUGUGCACAUGCUCCCUAGAGAACCAGCAACAACUCAUCAGAUUUAUUUCAAUAAUGAUCCUUCCGCAGGUUCACCUACGGAAA
This 265-nucleotide unclassified non-coding RNA is filed under the name uncultured fungus. RNAcentral's name for it is "sequence contains ITS1". The record is from RNAcentral. Lineage: Eukaryota; Fungi.